CGCCAGACUCCUACGGGAGGCAGCAGUGAGGAAUAUUGGUCAAUGGGCGGGAGCCUGAACCAGCCAAGUCGCGUGAGGGAAGACGGUCCUAUGGAUUGUAAACCUCUUUUGUCGGGGAGCAAAGAGGCCACGUGUGGUCAAAAGCGAGAGUACCCGAAGAAAAAGCAUCGGCUAACUCCGUGCCAGCAGCCGCGGUAAUACGGAGGAUGCGAGCGUUAUCCGGAUUUAUUGGGUUUAAAGGGUGCGUAGGCGGGGCGGUAAGUCAGCGGUAAAAAUGCGGAGCUCAACUCCGUCGAGCCGUUGAAACUGCUGUUCUUGAGUGAGCGAGAAGUAUGCGGAAUGCGUGGUGUAGCGGUGAAAUGCAUAGAUAUCACGCAGAACUCCGAUUGCGAAGGCAGCAUACCGGCGCGCAACUGACGCUCAUGCACGAAAGCGUGGGGAGCGAACAGGAUUAGAUACCCGAGUA
RNAcentral lists this ribosomal RNA (466 nucleotides) under uncultured bacterium. RNAcentral's name for it is "bacterial SSU rRNA". It matches the Rfam family "Bacterial small subunit ribosomal RNA", at positions 329 to 792 of the family's 1533-position model. The record is from RNAcentral.